GAUGAACGAGGGAGGCGUGCCUAAUACAUGCAAGUCGAGCGAACAGACGAGGAGCUUGCUCCUCUGACGUUAGCGGCGGACGGGUGAGUAACACGUGGAUAACCUACCUAUAAGACUGGGAUAACUUCGGGAAACCGGAGCUAAUACCGGAUAAUAUAUUGAACCGCAUGGUUCAAUAGUGAAAGACGGUUUUGCUGUCACUUAUAGAUGGAUCCGCGCCGCAUUAGCUAGUUGGUAAGGUAACGGCUUACCAAGGCAACGAUGCGUAGCCGACCUGAGAGGGUGAUCGGCCACACUGGAACUGAGACACGGUCCAGACUCCUACGGGAGGCAGCAGUAGGGAAUCUUCCGCAAUGGGCGAAAGCCUGACGGAGCAACGCCGCGUGAGUGAUGAAGGUCUUCUGAUCGUAAAACUCUGUUAUUAGGGAAGAACAAAUGUGUAAGUAACUAUGCACGUCUUGACGGUACCUAAUCAGAAAGCCACGGCUAACUACGUG
This 497-nucleotide ribosomal RNA is filed under the name uncultured bacterium. RNAcentral describes it as "partial 16S ribosomal RNA". It matches the Rfam family "Bacterial small subunit ribosomal RNA", at positions 28 to 507 of the family's 1533-position model. The record is from RNAcentral.